AGCUGCUGCCCCCAUGUUCACAGGGUUCCUGGUGUUGCAUGCGGAGCCUGAACAAAGGACGCAGGUGGACCUGGAACAGCUCAUUGUAGGUGAGCACACCCCCUAAAUCCAGGACACCUGGCUCCCUACCUGAUCCCCACCUUCCCAUCUCUGCUGGGGCUCUGCUGACCCUGUAGGCACCCGCAGGGACUAAGUGAUUUUCCUGGAUUUCAGGAUUUUUUUUUUUCCCUGUCACUGGUGACCUCAUCGUCUCUAGUAAUUCACGGAAACUUCUUAACUGUUCCAAAAGAGCUUAAAAAACACUAAAAAAGGAAAAACUAUCUUUCCGUUGGCUCCCGAGCCCUCCCAGCAGAGGCCCGUCUGUUAGAAAGGCAGUGGGCCGCCCCACACACAGGCCCAGGCAUGUGCACAACUGGCCUGUUCCUCUGCCCACAGCCCUGCAGCUCCUCCUAAAGGACCCAGUGCCUGGGGUACGGGAGAAAGCUGCCGAGACACUGGGCCGCCUGGUGAAGUUUGCCUGAGGCUGACUGCACUCCUGCAAUACACACACAGCUCGUUCUGCCUAGAGGACUCUCUGCUGCCAGACAGGGCCAAGACUGCGGUGCCCCAAUUUAUUGCCCAAUAAAGCCAGUUACACCUCA
Molecule: long non-coding RNA, 641 nt
Filed under: Rattus norvegicus (Norway rat)
Lineage: Eukaryota; Metazoa; Chordata; Mammalia; Rodentia; Muridae
Description: long non-coding RNA NONRATT026062
Source: RNAcentral